UUAAUUGAAGAGUUUGAUCAUGGCUCAGAUUGAACGCUGGCGGCAGGCCUAACACAUGCAAGUCGAGCGGUAACAUUUCAAAAGCUUGCUUUUGAAGAUGACGAGCGGCGGACGGGUGAGUAAUGCCUGGGAAUUUGCCCAUUUGUGGGGGAUAACAGUUGGAAACGACUGCUAAUACCGCAUACGCCCUACGGGGGAAAGCAGGGGACCUUCGGGCCUUGCGCUGAUGGAUAAGCCCAGGUGGGA
RNAcentral lists this ribosomal RNA (246 nucleotides) under Shewanella algae. RNAcentral's name for it is "partial 16S ribosomal RNA". It matches the Rfam family "Bacterial small subunit ribosomal RNA", at positions 1 to 240 of the family's 1533-position model. The record is from RNAcentral. Lineage: Bacteria; Pseudomonadati; Pseudomonadota; Gammaproteobacteria; Alteromonadales; Shewanellaceae.